UUUCGUCGCACAAAAUGUAUUUUGUAGUAGUGUUAGAAGGCAAGUAUUAUCGGCAAUUUAACAGAAAUUAUCACGCACUUAUCCAUGGUUACACUGCGCUGGAGAAAUAUAUAUAUAUAUAACAAUGAGUUGUGUUGUUCAUUGUCAUUUUGUGUUGAUACAUGCCAAGUACUAGUCAACUUAGUCCUAUUAAUACUAUGUUUAGCCCAUGUGAGAAAGAGACUUAAUUAUCACUAACCUGAUUUGUUUAUUAAUAUUUGACAUACAUAUCUAAACUAUUAUAAACUCACAGCUACUAAUCUCCUCCUAUGUCUAUAAACUAAACCCAUGAUCAUUAGACUCAUACAUGAAGGUAUCCUCACAUGAUAAAUGUUAACUUGUCAUAAAUUCUAGUUAAUAAGUGUGAAAUGCCCUCUUAAGGUUUACAAAUACUAUAGUAGAAGAUCAAUGAAAUAGAAUGAAAGAAAAAUGACAUUUCAUCAAAAAGAUCACGUCAGAAAUUCAAGUUACUCGUAUUGACACUAUUUCAAUGUUAUCACUUUGUGUUAGUAGGUUCAACUAUUUUGAAUUCAUGAAGAGUUAUAGUUAACCCAAUUCAUCUAAGAAUAUGACAUAAUAGAGGUUAUAGAUAAAAGAGAUCAUGAUUAGUCGUCCUUGAAUAUAGGUUUCUGGAACACCAGAGAAAUGAGAAAAGCUCUCGAAUUUUGAUUAAUAAUAUGAAAGCUAACAAACCUAAUGCCAAGAUGGCCAAUGUAUAAUGUAACUUAACCUUGGAAACCCUAAGAAUCCAAAUAGGAAAGGAAUUAAACAAAUAACAAAAUAAUAAAAUAUCUUAAAAUAUUAAACCCCCAAAUUAAAAAAAUUAAACGACAUAAUUGCCCAAAUUUCAACUGGGUUCGUUAACGAGUCUUGUAGGUUUGUCAUUUUUUUCGAAUUCAUAUAUUACAUGCUCAAAAUUGACAUGCCGAAAGAAAGUAGCGUUAAACUGAACAACCUAAAAAGUUCAAUACUUCCACUCUUAGGGUAUGACAUCAACAAAUAAUCUUUUUAACUCGUGAAUUACAAAUUCUCCAAUCACUUUUAUUAAUUAAAUGACGUUUCCUUCUUUUAAUUUUCCCGCUUCUAAAAAUAAUAUCAAUUUCAUCCUCGGCCAAAAUAUGUAUCCUCUACUGAUAUUUUUAGUACUACUUUCAAAGCUUAUUAGAGACAUAAGGGGUUUUACUAGGCUUUAGAGGUUACUAUAUGGAAUUUAUAUUGGAAUGACAACUAUACAGGAGAAAUUUCAAUUGCACAUCACAUGAACUUACUUGGGAACAAGCCCUUUGCUCGUUGCACGAUGUACUUUCAUGGUCCAAAUCAUUUAUAUUUUAAGGUCAUCUAAUCCAGUGGUGAAGCUAGGAUUAGCUGAAUGCAGGGGUCAUGACCAACCCUAGUCUCUUCUACUCUCGUCUCCUGCAUCUAAUUAUAUUUUAAAGAUUUUGCAUACUAAAAGUAUUCGAUUGGAGAUGAGUAGUCAUCUAGUUAUGGUCGAAUAAUUGAUGAACAACAUAAAUUUGAUAAAACCCGUGAUCUAGUGGAUAAAAAAAAAAAAAAUUAUCGCAGCCAUCAAGAUAAUUAACCACUUAAAAAAUACUAAAAAGAAUUGUGUUGUAAUCAAAUAGCUAAAAAUAAUGUUCAUCAUUGACCCUCAAGACCAAUAAUUUCCCUUAAAUUUCAAAGUUUCAAGUGGUGUUCUUUUAUUGUAUCAACAAAUACCAUUUCAUCAAGCAUAGUAGUUGAAGGCUCCAAGCAACACGUCAUGGUGAGGUGCCCUUUCCAUAUCCCUUCUCCUCCUGGAUGAGGAUUCCCUCCGGAUCUUCUUUGUAAGGAUUCUAAAGAUCAAUUCAUCUUAGCCGUUCAU
RNAcentral lists this long non-coding RNA (1900 nucleotides) under Malus domestica (apple). RNAcentral's name for it is "long non-coding RNA (MDOM_LNC019641)". Lineage: Eukaryota; Viridiplantae; Streptophyta; Magnoliopsida; Rosales; Rosaceae. The record is from RNAcentral.